Non-coding RNA from Picea glauca (white spruce), 154 nucleotides. The record is from Rfam. Lineage: Eukaryota; Viridiplantae; Streptophyta; Pinopsida; Pinales; Pinaceae.
GACUCUCGACAACGGAUAUCUCAGCUCUUGUCACGAUGAAGAACGUAGCGAAAUGCGAUACUUAGUGUGAAUUGCAGAAUCCCGUGAAUCAUCAAGUUUUUGAACGCAAUUUGCGCCCGAGGCCUCUGUCGAGGGCACCUCUGUCUGGGCGUCG